Molecule: ribosomal RNA, 933 nt
Filed under: uncultured bacterium
Lineage: Bacteria
Description: bacterial SSU rRNA
Rfam family: Bacterial small subunit ribosomal RNA
Source: RNAcentral
UGCNNUCGAACGGCAGCACGGGGGCAACCCUGGUGGCGAGUGGCGAACGGGUGAGUAACAUAUCGGAACGUGCCCUGGAGUGGGGGAUAACUAGUCGAAAGAUUAGCUAAUACCGCAUACGAUCUACGGAUGAAAGUGGGGGAUCGCAAGACCUCAUGCUCGUGGAGCGGCCGAUAUCUGAUUAGCUAGUUGGUGGGGUAAAGGCCUACCAAGGCAUCGAUCAGUAGCUGGUCUGAGAGGACGACCAGCCACACUGGGACUGAGACACGACCCAGACUCCUACGGGAGGCAGCAGUGGGGAAUUUUGGACAAUGGGCGCAAGCCUGAUCCAGCAAUGCCGCGUGAGUGAAGAAGGCCUUCGGGUUGUAAAGCUCUUUUGUCAGGGAAGAAACGGUUCGGGUUAAUACCUUGGGCUAAUGACGGUACCUGAAGAAUAAGCACCGGCUAACUACGUGCCAGCAGCCGCGGUAAUACGUAGGGUGCAAGCGUUAAUCGGAAUUACUGGGCGUAAAGCGUGCGCAGGCGGUUGCGCAAGACAGAUGUGAAAUCCCCGGGCUCAACCUGGGAAUUGCAUUUGUGACUGUACGGCUAGAGUGUGUCAGAGGGGGGUAGAAUUCCACGUGUAGCAGUGAAAUGCGUAGAGAUGUGGAGGAAUACCGAUGGCGAAGGCAGCCCCCUGGGAUAACACUGACGCUCAUGCACGAAAGCGUGGGGAGCAAACAGGAUUAGAUACCCUGGUAGUCCACGCCCUAAACGAUGUCUACUAGUUGUCGGGUCUUUAUUGACUUGGUAACGCAGCUAACGCGUGAAGUAGACCGCCUGGGGAGUACGGUCGCAAGAUUAAAACUCAAAGGAAUUGACGGGGACCCGCACAAGCGGNGGAUGAUGUGGAUUAAUUCGAUGCAACGCGAAAAACCUUACCUACCCUUGACA